This 441-nucleotide ribosomal RNA is filed under the name uncultured bacterium. Its description in RNAcentral is "partial 16S ribosomal RNA". It matches the Rfam family "Bacterial small subunit ribosomal RNA", at positions 338 to 795 of the family's 1533-position model. The record is from RNAcentral.
CCUACGGGAGGCAGCAGUGGGGGAUAUUGCACAAUGGGGGGAACCCUGAUGCAGCGACGCCGCGUGGGUGAAGGAGUAUUUCGGUAUGUAAAGCCCUAUCGGCAGGGAAGAAAUUGGACGGUACCUGACUAAGAAGCCCCGGCUAACUACGUGCCAGCAGCCGCGGUAAUACGUAGGGGGCAAGCGUUAUCCGGAUUCACGGGGUGUAAAGGGAGCGUAGACGGCCAUGCAAGCCAGGGGUGAAAGCCCGGGGCCCAACCCCGGGACUGCCCUUGGAACUGCAUGGCUGGAGUGCGGGGGGGGCAGGCGGAAGUCCUGGUGUAGCGGUGAAAUGCGGAGAUAUCAGGAGGAACACCGGCGGCGAAGGCGGCCUGCUGGACCGCGACUGACGUUGAGGCUCGAAAGCGUGGGGAGCGAACAGGAUUAGAUACCCCAGUAGUC